AAGACCCUGGGAUAUGCGUCAGACUGCUAGAUCCCUGAGCCGAUGCUUUUAAACUAGGCUGUUUCCAGCUGAUACUGUUGUGCAUGUCCGCGAGACGGGAAGCCUGAUGUAUCUCGGAAACUGCCACCUUGAACCUCUGGGUUCAAGGGUCACGCAGCCAACGGUAUCUCGGGGUUUUU
RNAcentral lists this non-coding RNA (179 nucleotides) under Spongiibacteraceae bacterium. RNAcentral describes it as "6S RNA". It matches the Rfam family "6S / SsrS RNA". Rfam says of the family: E. coli 6S RNA was the first non coding RNA to be sequenced, but its function was unknown until recently. It consists of 184 nucleotides that fold into an extended hairpin structure with a large single-stranded internal bulge. The 6S RNA specifically associates with RNA polymerase holoenzyme containing the sigma70 specificity factor. The record is from RNAcentral. Lineage: Bacteria; Pseudomonadati; Pseudomonadota; Gammaproteobacteria; Cellvibrionales; Spongiibacteraceae.